This 521-nucleotide ribosomal RNA is filed under the name uncultured bacterium. RNAcentral describes it as "partial 16S ribosomal RNA". It matches the Rfam family "Bacterial small subunit ribosomal RNA", at positions 355 to 894 of the family's 1533-position model. The record is from RNAcentral.
UGGGGAAUAUUGGACAAUGGGGGCAACCCUGAUCCAGCCAUGCCGCGUGAGUGAUGAAGGCCUUCGGGUUGUAAAGCUCUUUUGGCGGGGACGAUGAUGACGGUACCCGCAGAAUAAGCCCCGGCUAACUUCGUGCCAGCAGCCGCGGUAAGACGAAGGGGGCUAGCGUUGUUCGGAAUUACUGGGCGUAAAGCGAGUGUAGGCGGUUGCCGUAGUCAGGUGUGAAAGCCUUGAGCUCAACUCAAGAAAUGCACUUGAUACUGGGUGACUAGAGGACCGGAGAGGAUAGUGGAAUUCCCAGUGUAGUGGUGAAAUACGUAGAGAUUGGGAAGAACACCAGUGGCGAAGGCGGCUAUCUGGACGGUUACUGACGCUAAGACUCGAAAGCGUGGGGAGCAAACAGGAUUAGAUACCCUGGUAGUCCACGCCGUAAACGAUGGGUGCUAGACGUUGGCGAGCUUGCUCGUCAGUGUCGCAGCUAACGCGUUAAGCACCCCGCCUGGGGAGUACGGCCGCAAGGG